GUCCAGUUGAUUUACUGAACUGCAUGUGGUCCAGUUGAUUUACUGAACUGUACGCGGCCCAGUUGAUUUACUGAACUGUACGUGGCCCAGUUGAUUUACUGAACUGCACGUGACCCAGUUGAUUUACUGAACUGCACGUGGCCCAGUUGAUUUACUGAACCGCACGUGGCCCAGUUGAUUUACUGAACCGCACGUGGCCCAGUUGAUUUACUGAACCUCACGUGGCCCAGUUGAUUUACUGAACUGCACGUGGCCCAGUUGAUUUACUGAACCGCACGUGGCCCAGUUGAUUUACUGAACCGCACGUGGCCCAGUUGAUUUACUGAACUGCACGCGGCCCAGUUGAUUUACUGAACUGCACGUGGCCCAGUUGAUUUACUGAACUGCACGUGGCCCAGUUGAUUUACUGAACUGUACGUGGCCCAGUUGAUUUACUGAACUGUGCGUGGCCCAGUUGUUUUCAGGCUCCCGAGUGGCUUGCGGUCUAAGGCAUUUCAGUGCUAGAGGCGUCACUACAAACCAUUGUUCGAUUCCAGGCUGUAUCACAACUGACCGUGAUUGGGAGUCCCAUAGGGCAGCGCACAAUUGGCCCAGCGUCGUCCGGGUUAUGGUUUGGCCUGGGGGUAGGCCUUCAUUGUAAAUAAGAAUUUGUUCUUAACUGACUUGCCUAGUUAAAUAAAAAAGUGUUUUACAAAAUGCUAACAAGAACUUACCAGGACCCCCAGUCUCGUUCAACACUCCCUACAUCUGUUUUUAAUUCAAUUGACACAAGUUCCCAUUGGGAGGACAAAGUUUACAUACAAAAUAAAUCACUUGCAUGACAAAACUUUUCAAACCAGUCGACUGUUUUUGUCAGGAUGCCCUCUUCUCCAGCAGCCUGAAAUCCAACGAACAGUUUUGAUACGUUUUAUCACUGUUUCAACAACGGAGAAAGUAGGUUUGGAUGUCAGGCUACUUCUCCAGUCCCCACUAAACCCCUUUACUAACAUACGAUCAGGCUACUUCUCCAGUCCCCGCUAAACCCUUUACUAACAUACGAUCAGGCUACUUCUCCAGUCCCCACUAAACCCCUUUACUAACAUACGAUCAGGCUACUUCUCCAGUCCCCGCUAAACCCUUUACUAACAUACGAUCAGGCUACUUCUCCAGUCCCCGCUAAACCCCUUUACUAACAUACGAUCAGGCUACUUCUCCAGUCCCCGCUAACCCCCUUUACUAACAUACGAUCAGGCUACUUCUCCAGUCCCCGCUAAACCCCUUUACUAACAUACGAUCAGGCUACUU
This 1284-nucleotide long non-coding RNA is filed under the name Salmo trutta (river trout). RNAcentral's name for it is "lncRNA (ENSSTUG00000010893.1)". The record is from RNAcentral. Lineage: Eukaryota; Metazoa; Chordata; Actinopteri; Salmoniformes; Salmonidae.